AGUGAACGCUGGCGGUAGGCCUAACACAUGCAAGUCGAACGGCAGCACAGUAAGAGCUUGCUCUUACAGGUGGCGAGUGGCGGACGGGUGAGGAAUACAUCGGAAUCUACUUUUUCGUGGGGGAUAACGUAGGGAAACUUACGCUAAUACCGCAUACGACCUACGGGUGAAAGCAGGGGAUCUUCGGACCUUGCGCGAUUGAAUGAGCCGAUGUCGGAUUAGCUAGUUGGCGGGGUAAAGGCCCACCAAGGCGACGAUCCGUAGCUGGUCUGAGAGGAUGAUCAGCCACACUGGAACUGAGACACGGUCCAGACUCCUACGGGAGGCAGCAGUGGGGAAUAUUGGACAAUGGGCGCAAGCCUGAUCCAGCCAUACCGCGUGGGUGAAGAAGGCCUUCGGGUUGUAAAGCCCUUUUGUUGGGAAAGAAAAGCGGCAGGUUAAUACCCCGCUGUUCUGACGGUACCCAAAGAAUAAGCACCGGCUAACUUCGUG
This 492-nucleotide ribosomal RNA is filed under the name uncultured bacterium. RNAcentral's name for it is "partial 16S ribosomal RNA". It matches the Rfam family "Bacterial small subunit ribosomal RNA", at positions 29 to 507 of the family's 1533-position model. The record is from RNAcentral.